Oncorhynchus tshawytscha (Chinook salmon) is the source of this 544-nucleotide long non-coding RNA. Lineage: Eukaryota; Metazoa; Chordata; Actinopteri; Salmoniformes; Salmonidae. The record is from Ensembl.
GCUUUCAUCAAGGUUAGUGUUUCUGUAGGUUGGGGGCUUUCAUCAAGGUUAGUGUUUCUAUAGGUUGGGGGCUUUCAUCAAGGUUAGUGUUUCUAUAGGUUGGGGGCUUUCAUCAAGGUUAGUGUUUCUGUAGGUUGGGGGCUUUCAUCAAGGUUAGUGUUUCUGUAGGUUGGGGCUUUCAUCAAGGUUAGUGUUUCUUUAGGUUGGGGGCUUUCAUCAAGGUUAGUGUUUCUUUAGGUUGGGGGCUUUCAUCAAGGUUAGUGUUUCUUUAGGUUGGGGGCUUUCAUCAAGGUUAGUGUUUCUAUAGGUUGGGGGCUUUCAUCAAGGUUAGUGUUUCUAUAGGUUGGGGGCUUUCAUCAAGGUGUUUCUUUAGGUUGGGGGCUUUCAUCAAGGUUAGUGUUUCUAUAGGUUGGGGGCUUUCAUCAAGGUUUGUGUUUCUAUAGGUUGGGGGCUUUCAUCAAGGUUAGUGUUUCUAUAGGUUGGGGGCUUUCAUCAAGGUUAGUGUUUCUAUAGGUUGGGGGCUUUCAUCAAGGUUAGUGUUUCU